CGGAGGGUGCGAGCGUUGUCCGGAAUCACUGGGCGUAAAGGGCGCGUAGGUGGCCUGUGGAAGUCUGCGGUGAAAGCCCGGCGCUCAACGCCGGGUCGGCCGUGGAUACUCUCGGGCUCGAGCUUACUAGAGGCAGAUGGAAUUCCGGGUGUAGCGGUGGAAUGCGUAGAGAUCCGGAAGAACACCGGUGGCGAAGGCGGUCUGCUGGGGUAAUGCUGACACUGAUGCGCGACAGCGUGGGGAGCAAACAGGAUUAGAUACCCUGGUAGUCCACGCCGUAAACGAUGGGCACUAGAUGCUUGGGGGAGCGACCCCCUGAGUGUCGUCGCUAACGCAUUAAGUGCCCCGCCUGGGGAGUACGGCCGCAAGGCUG
This 373-nucleotide ribosomal RNA is filed under the name uncultured organism. Its description in RNAcentral is "bacterial SSU rRNA". It matches the Rfam family "Bacterial small subunit ribosomal RNA", at positions 526 to 896 of the family's 1533-position model. The record is from RNAcentral.